UGCCGUCGGAGAGCUUGCUCUUUGCCGACGAGCGGCGGACGGGUGCGUAACACGUAGGAAUCUGCCUGGUAGUGGGGGAUAGCCCGGAGAAAUCCGGAUUAAUACCGCAUACGCCCUACGGGGGAAAGGAGGGGACUCUUCGGAACCUUUCGCUAUCAGAUGAGCCUGCGUCGGAUUAGCUGGUUGGUGGGGUAAAGGCCUACCAAGGCGACGAUCCGUAGCUGGUCUGAGAGGAUGAUCAGCCACACUGGGACUGAGACACGGCCCAGACUCCUACGGGAGGCAGCAGUGGGGAAUAUUGCACAAUGGGCGAAAGCCUGAUGCAGCCAUGCCGCGUGUGUGAAGAAGGCCCUAGGGUUGUAAAGCACUUUCAGUGGGGAGGAAAGGUUGAAGGUUAAUACCCUUCAGCUGUGACGUUACCCACAGAAGAAGCACCGGCUAACUCCGUGCCAGCAGCCGCGGUAAUACGGAGGGUGCGAGCGUUAGUCGGAGUUACUGGGCGUAAAGCGUGCGUAGGCGGCUACCUAAGUUGGAUGUGAAAGCCCCGGGCUCAACCUGGGAACUGCAUCCAAAACUGGGUGGCUAGAGUACGGGAGAGGAGUGUGGAAUUUCCUGUGUAGCGGUGAAAUGCGUAGAUAUAGGAAGGAACA
This 650-nucleotide ribosomal RNA is filed under the name uncultured bacterium. Its description in RNAcentral is "bacterial SSU rRNA". It matches the Rfam family "Bacterial small subunit ribosomal RNA", at positions 65 to 708 of the family's 1533-position model. The record is from RNAcentral.